UAAGUAUGAAUAUUUGAAUGAAUAUUUUUAUAUGAAUAUUUUUUACACUGACUGUACAGACGCUGUCAAGGCGUGUCGUGAAAUCUAAACAGUGUUCCACGACCGUCAUCGCUAUUGCACGAUCGUAAACUUCGACAGAUGUAGAUCGUGUAACUGUUCGUAUGCGUUUUAACAUUACGAAUGUCUCGUAACGUCCCUUGAAUUGGCGCUUCUGUGAAUAGAGAGCAUGCUUCCAAAGGUGGAGCGAGAUAGAGCGGACAAAGUACUAUUCUCGCCCAUAUGCUCUGCCUCACCAGCCAUCUUCUCUUCUCUGCACUAUGUUUUUAUUGAGAUACUGUAUAUGUAAUGUGACGAGCGGCACUCAUGGUGUCAUGUUCGGGCCAUAUCAAUCGCGCCAGUGGCAAUCCGAUUUUCAAAACAAAUACAAACGAUGUUAAAAAUUAUUAUUAUUAUUUCUAUAGUAAAUUUACCACCGUUAUGUUCAUCAUUUAUUUAUCUUUAUAUUUAUCACGAACUCCAGUUUGACUUACGUACAUCGUACGAAUAACGUGUCAAUUUCUACUAAGCUUACGGGAGUUGCUCGUUUGUGUUCGUCUGACUGCACCAGUCAAGUUUAUUGCAUCAGUAAAACAUCUCGUUCAUAACGAUGAUUCUCUAUUUGUUUUAAACAGUGUAAUCAUUCACGUAAGUAAUUAUAUUUCUUCAUAAUGUCAGGACACGAAUAACCUCUGUAUUUCUGUAGCUUAUCUGUUUUUCAAAUGUUAAUUCUGUUUAACUAUUCAAUUGGCCAUUAUUCUGUCUACUGUUUUUGAUCACAACGGACUCACAAAGCAUUUGCGAGGAAAUCGACAGCGUUGCCGAACUACGUACAAAGGCUUUUCUGUUUCUACGUAAUAAUGCAAAGAUUGCACAUUGUACGAAUCGUUUGAGAAGAUUCAGCUUUUCGAAUGGAAGCUUCUUAUGCAAGAUGGAUCGUAAUUCGUGGCACAAGCAGAACGAGAGGAGUGAUAUGGUUAAAAAUAAGGCGAAACUUGAGAUUGAAACGUUCCCUCGCAUAUUGGUAGAAUGCUAACAGAUUGUCGAGACAAUCUCUACCAUGACACGGACUCUCUCCCCCUCUCAAUGUCUCAAUUAAAACAACAGACCAAAUUUUAUUUAUUACGUUCGUUGUGUUCAUCACCAAGCUCGAAGAAUUAAUUAAUAAUUAAGUAUUGACAGCGAAUAAGCCAAAUAAGCGAGGACUGUGGCCUAAAAAGCAGAGGAAGUUACAAUAGCAGUCUGUGAUGAAAUCCGUGAGGCUAAUCACGUGUCAUUCAGCGGAUCUUCAAACGCGUUUCUCUCGAAAGCGAAGCCGCCAACUUAAUCUUGUUAUUUCUAAUUCACUUUCAUUCUGGGCCAUAGAAUUUUCCUUGCUCUGCUUCUAUCAUGUUUGCUGAUGCAGGAUGUAUAUUCUGCAUUUUCCUUCCAUAUUAUUUCUUAUACACAGACAGCACAGGUUCUUAUCUCUUUCCAUCUCAUAUGUAAUUCUUGCCAUCUUACUGUUUUAAAGCUGUCUAUUUGCUAAUCGGCUUUUCCGUACUCUUGUUUGAUAAAUUUUUCGCCAUGGAGACAGUCCAUGUCUCCGUCUUCGUCAAAUUAAAUAUAUUUAAGACAUAAUCUUCUUUCUUGUAACGUUAAUGAGUUUGUUCGCACUCAACAACAAUUUUUUUUUCUUUUUUGGACUACAGACUGACUAACAAUCUAUCUCUUUCUUUCGCAAUUUUUCUUGUGCAGAUUUAGACAGAUAAAUUUAAUUUUGAAAUUGUUUUAUUUUCGACUUCCUUCGAUAUUGGGUUCAUGUUCGGAUAGAGUUUAAUUCUCGGUUGUCGUUAUGGGUCCUGGUGACCUACAGUUUUACUUUAGAAAGAGAUAUCUUCAAGAUAUUCGCUUAUAAUUGCAUUAUGUGCACAGUAUUAUUAGUUUGAAGUGUUUCUUAUAAUCUCUGACGAUUAUACCGCUAAAACUCUCGUCAGUCGCGUACUGAAUGUCGUGGCAACUCUCCACAGUUAGUAAUGGGUCAUGUUGAUCCAGGUGUGACAAAAGCGUAUUCUUUGCUCAGAUCGAACAUAUUUUAUUUAUGUGCAAAUUUUCCAUACAGAUUCUUGUGCAUUCACUGUGGAGGAACUCUUUUCAAAUCUUUCUUAUUUACUUUUAAAAUAUAUAAAUCUACCUAUCUAUAAAUAAAAUACAGAAUGUUUGUAGCUUUGACUUGACUUUUUCAUAUAAUUGUCUCGGUUUUCUUAUUCGAAAACUGCUUUUCUUCGACAUGUCAAAUAAAUAUCUUCUUUGAAGCAUGCACUAGGAAACUACUUUUUCCCCUAGAGCACCACAUCUCGAAAGCAUCAUCGUAGAUGUUUAGCGAGGGAAGCAUAAAGAAGUUACCGCAUAACUUUUCAUAAAAAUAUCUUUCUUCCAAACUUGCAGGUAAAAAGAUUUUUUUAAAGAACAAACGUUGUUUGUUAACCUUUCUUUUGCCAAAAAAUAUUCUAGGACGUUUAAACUACCCUCAAAUUUUGUCUAUCCAAUAUCACUGUUAUUUUUCAUUAAACAGCAUUUACUUGAGGAUUGAAAAGGGCCCCAGUGUCUGAAAUAAGAGUCGAUUUAUUAUCAUUUAUUAUCAUUAAAAGAACAAAUUUCAGUUCAGCAGUAAGAUCAUCAUCUUGUGGAAUAAUACAUUUCCUCCGGUGGCAGUACUUUUACGUAAACAGUACGCAAUUCUGAAUGGCACAGUCUUGAAUAGGCUAAUUAAAAAUGGCACCAUAAUAUUACCAGAAUAUCCAUAAUAUAAUCGCAACAACGCUAUCAUAUUAUAAGCAGACUAAUAUAAAAUUUUCAGAAACAAAAAUCUAUGUACGUUUCGUGCUGGCAAGUGGAUGUUGAAAUAUUUCAAUUUCGGAUUAAAAUAGACUUACAAAGUUUUCCAAAGGUUGCGUAACAACUUUAUCGUGCGAUUUCGUGUUGCGAAAAAUGUUAGAUAAUAAAGAAGAGAUUAGAGGGUAUAAAGUCUGCGAGAUGAAAAACAGAAAUAGAAAGCAAACGAUUUAACUCUUGAGAAUUUCAUUGCACGUGCCUAUUGAGAUUUUGUAAUGUAAAAUAACAGCGUGACUAAUUGUUAAAUGAUAAGAUAUUUCGCUGAUUUCAGCUGGAAUUGAUGUGUUAUUGGAUGACGGUACAAAGACGUUAAAUUGAAAUCGAGUCUUGAAAAGUACCAUAUUUUCAAACGAAAUGGCAAAAUGUUUGAUUACGUUGGAAUUAUAGGCACUUUACGAGCACUUAACGCAGCUAAUGUGUUUUUCUUGCGCAUCAUGCUGUAUCACACUAUAUAUUCAUGUGCAUAUCCAACAAAUCAGAAUUCCAAUACUCAUAAACCGAACAGAAACGUUAUCGAGAAUAAAAAAAUUUGCACGAAUAAAUGUGAAAAUAUUACUAAGUUACUAUUGGGUUGGCAACUAAGUGAUUGCAGAUUUUGUCAUUAGGUGGUAUUGAUAAAAUACGCAAUCACUUAUUUGCCAAUCCAAUAUAUCUCGCUGUAUUAAUAAGAGAUGAUCUUUGCCACUAAUUGUUACGUUUAAGACUACUAUUCACGCUGUAUACUGAUUUUCUACUAAUUGCAAGUGCAUAUUUGUCUUGUAAUUUCUGUAUACAUUCUUUGAUUGCUUUCAAACGUUACUACAUUUAGAUUAAAAAAAAAAAAACAAUAUAGAGCUAAUGAAAUUUCAAAAAGUUUCAUAUAAUGCACAUAAUAUAUUCAUAAAAGAGUUCUAUGGAAAAUGUUGGAAUAUUUUCAUAAACCACAGCGUAUCGUGUUAUUUGAAACAAUGAAACUAAAUUUAAAUUUGUUCGUUGGAAAAUUGCUAACACUUAAUGAGUGAAAUUUCCGAGCUUAUUAACUCAAGAAUGAUAACGAAUCUGGUCAUAAAAGAUAUGUAUAUGCUAAUAGAAAUAUUAUUUUUGAUCAUACGUAAUACGCACGUGAGGUCAUGAGCAUAAACCGAAGAAACGUUUUAAGGAGUAAAACGAAUUAGAGGAAGAAAAAGAGGAAAUUGGGGAAUUUGAAUUUCGAUAAAAUUUCGCGAAACAAUUGAAUCUAUUGGAACAAAACAACACAUAGGAAAAGGAACGUAAAAUGCGUGUAUCAAGAACUAUUAUAAACACAGGAUAUCCGAGAAUAGAGCGGUGACUACUCUCGACGAUGUCUAAACAUUUACUUGGACUGAAAAUAGUUCGUUCAGGAAUUGGAAUUUCAGUCUAUAAAACAACUCUUCUUAGAAAAAUCUAGUUGCCGUACGUCAAUCUAUUUUCUCCCGAACUGUAUAAAUAUCGAAAUAAGCGAACGAAACGGUGUAACGUUAAGGCUUGUUUUCUCCUUUAUUCUUAAAUAGCUUGAUUUUAAGCAGUGCCUAAAUAUUUAAAAUAUUAUAAAAGAUUCAGCAGUAAAAUCAGAUAUUAGAAUAUGUAUACGAAUUUUCUUCCAACAUGAAAUAAUGGAAGAAAAAGUUCUGGCAAUAUGGUAAUGUUAAAAAAGAUUUCAAUUUCAUAUAUUGCUAUUCAAUGUUAUACAUACAUAUAUAUAUAUAAUUGUACAAUAUGCAUAUUUCAAUAUCUAUUUGAAUAUACGUUUCAAUAUGUAUAUUUGGGUAUAUAUUUCAAUAUGUAUAUUUGAGUAUAUAUUUCAGUGUAUAUAACUGAAUGUAUAUUUUAAUAUGUGUACUUCAAUAUAUAUUUCAAUAUGUGCAUUUCAAUAUAUAUUCCAAUAUGUAUAUUUGGGUAUAUAUUUCAAUAUGUAUAUUUGAGUGUAUAUUUCAGUGUAUAUAACUGAAUGUAUAUUUUAAUAUGUGCAUUUCAAUAUAUAUUCCAAUAUGUAUGUUUGAAUAUCUAUUUGAAUGUAUAUCUCAAUAUGUAUAUUUGAAUAUAUAUUUCAAUGUGUAUAUUUCAAUAUAUAUUUCAGUACAUAUAAUUGAAUAUAUAUUUCAAUAUGUGUAUCUCAAUGUAUAUUUCAAUAUGUAUUUGAAUGUAUAUUUCAAUAUUUGGUUAGUAAUUAACAUGGACUAUUGUCCUAACAGCUACAACCAAAAUGACUAAAAGUUGCUGUGUAACGAUUAGUAGAUUAGAUUAGUAGUAGAUUAGUAGAGUUUGACUGACUUUGGUUACGAAUAACCGUUAUAGAUCAAAAUUUGUUUGGUUACCGACACCAUCAUAGAUGAGAGAACUUCUUUUUGGUUGCCCAUAGCCAUUAUGUAUUAGAGGGAAAAAUGAGAAAGGGAGAGAAAAAUAAUAUUUCCUUUUGGUUGACGAUUCAUAAAAGUGUUAAGGACAACUGUUAUUUUUGAGGUAUCAAAAUAAAAGAAAAUGGUCUUACACCACUUUCAAAAUAAACGGUC
This is a long non-coding RNA of Bombus terrestris (buff-tailed bumblebee), 5420 nucleotides long. RefSeq lists it as uncharacterized. Lineage: Eukaryota; Metazoa; Arthropoda; Insecta; Hymenoptera; Apidae. The record is from RefSeq and is a predicted model, not a curated record. The transcript is spliced from 3 exons.